AGCAGCCGCGGUAAUUCCAGCUCCAAUAGCGUAUAUUAAAGUUGUUGCAGUUAAAAAGCUCGUAGUUGAAUUUCGGGAUCAAUACGUCGGUCGUGCCUUCGGUACGUACUGGCGUCAUUGGUUUCUCCCUUCUGACGAACCAUGAUGUCAUUAAUUUGGUGUUAUGGGAAGUUAGGACUGUUACUUUGAAAAAAUUAGAGUGUUUAAAGCAGGCAUUAGCUUGAAUACAUUAGCAUGGAAUAAUGAAAUAGGACGUUCGACCCUAUUUUGUUGGUUUCUAGGAUCGACGUAAUGAUUAAUAGGGAUAGUUGGGGGCAUUAGUAUUCAAUUGUCAGAGGUGAAAUUCUUGGAUUUAUUGAAGACUAACUACUGCGAAAGCAUUUGCCAAGGAUGUUUUCAUUAAUCAAGAACGAAAGUUAGGGGAUCGAAGACGAUCAGAUACCGUCGUAG
RNAcentral lists this ribosomal RNA (450 nucleotides) under uncultured Glomeromycotina. Its description in RNAcentral is "SSU rRNA". It matches the Rfam family "Eukaryotic small subunit ribosomal RNA", at positions 569 to 1023 of the family's 1831-position model. The record is from RNAcentral. Lineage: Eukaryota; Fungi; Glomeromycota.